Molecule: ribosomal RNA, 389 nt
Filed under: uncultured bacterium
Lineage: Bacteria
Description: bacterial SSU rRNA
Rfam family: Bacterial small subunit ribosomal RNA
Source: RNAcentral
AACGAACGCUGGCGGAAUGCUUUACACAUGCAAGUCGAGCGGCAGCGCGGGGGCAACCCUGGCGGCGAGCGGCGAACGGGUGAGUAAUACAUCGGAACGUGUCCUUAAGUGGGGGAUAGCUCGGCGAAAGCCGGAUUAAUACCGCAUAAGCUCUGAGGAGGAAAGCGGGGGCUCCGUAAGGACCUCGCGCUGUUGGAGCGGCCGAUGUCGGAUUAGCUAGUUGGUGGGGUAAAGGCCCACCAAGGCGACGAUCCGUAGCUGGUCUGAGAGGAUGAUCAGCCACACUGGGACUGAGACACGGCCCAGACUCCUACGGGAGGCAGCAGUGGGGAAUCUUGGACAAUGGGCGCAAGCCUGAUCCAGCCAUGCCGCGUGGGUGAAGAAGGCCU